This 400-nucleotide ribosomal RNA is filed under the name uncultured bacterium. RNAcentral's name for it is "bacterial SSU rRNA". It matches the Rfam family "Bacterial small subunit ribosomal RNA", at positions 355 to 772 of the family's 1533-position model. The record is from RNAcentral.
UGGGGAAUCUUGCACAAUGGGGGAAACCCUGAUGCAGCGACGCCGCGUGAGUGAUGAAGCCCUUCGGGGUGUAAAGCUCUUUCGGCAGGGACGAUAAUGACGGUACCUGAAGAAGAAGCUGCGGCUAACUACGUGCCAGCAGCCGCGGUAAUACGUAGGCAGCGAGCGUUGUUCGGAGUUACUGGGCGUAAAGAGUGCGUAGGCGGUUUUCCAAGUUUGGUGUGAAAUCUCCCGGCUUAACUGGGAGGGUGCGCCGAAAACUGGAAGGCUAGAGUAUGGGAGAGGUAAGCGGAAUUCCUGGUGUAGCGGUGAAAUGCGUAGAUAUCAGGAGGAACACCUGCGGUGUAGACGGCUUACUGGACCAUAACUGACGCUGAGGCACGAAAGCGUGGGUAGCAAA